CCUACGGGCGGCAGCAGUCGGGAAUAUUGCGCAAUGGAGGAAACUCUGACGCAGUGACGCCGCGUGCAGGAAGAAGGUUUUCGGAUUGUAAACUGCUUUAGAUAGAGAAGAUAAAAGACAGUACUUGUAGAAUAAGCUCCGGCUAACUACGUCCAAGCAGCCGCGGUAAAACGGAGGGAGGAAGCGUUAUCCGGAUGUAUUGGGUGUAAAGGGUGCGUAGGCGGGAAAGCAAGUUAGUUGUGAAAUCCCUCGGCUUAACUGAGGAACUGCAACUAAAACUACUUCCCUUGAGUACUGGAGAGGAAAGUGGAAUUCCUGGUGUAGCGGUGAAAUGCGUAGAGAUUAGGAGGAACACCAGUGGCGAAGGCGACUUUCUGGACAGUAACUGACGUUGAGGCACGAAAGUGUGGGGAGCAAACAGGAUUAGAUACCCCGGUAGUC
This 441-nucleotide ribosomal RNA is filed under the name uncultured bacterium. Its description in RNAcentral is "partial 16S ribosomal RNA". It matches the Rfam family "Bacterial small subunit ribosomal RNA", at positions 338 to 795 of the family's 1533-position model. The record is from RNAcentral.